RNAcentral lists this transfer RNA (76 nucleotides) under Salmonella enterica subsp. enterica serovar Typhimurium. RNAcentral's name for it is "tRNA-Met". It matches the Rfam family "tRNA". From Rfam's summary of the family: Transfer RNA (tRNA) molecules are approximately 80 nucleotides in length. Their secondary structure includes four short double-helical elements and three loops (D, anti-codon, and T loops). Further hydrogen bonds mediate the characteristic L-shaped molecular structure. tRNAs have two regions of fundamental functional importance: the anti-codon, which is responsible for specific mRNA codon recognition, and the 3' end, to which the tRNAs corresponding amino acid is attached (by aminoacyl-tRNA synthetases). tRNAs cope with the degeneracy of the genetic code in two manners: having more than one tRNA (with a specific anti-codon) for a particular amino acid; and 'wobble' base-pairing, i.e. permitting non-standard base-pairing at the 3rd anti-codon position. The record is from RNAcentral. Lineage: Bacteria; Pseudomonadati; Pseudomonadota; Gammaproteobacteria; Enterobacterales; Enterobacteriaceae.
GCGGGGUGGAUCAGCCUGGUAGCUCGUCGGGCUCAUAACCCGAAGGUCGUCGGUUCAAAUCCGGCCCCCGCAACCA